AUUCCAGCUCCAAUAGCGUAUAUUUAAGUUGUUGCGGUUAAAAAGCUCGUAGUUGGAUUUCGGGCGUGGAGGUUCGGUCCGCCGUUUCGGUGUGCACUGUCUUUCUGCGUCUUUCUGUCGGGGACGCGCUUCUGGCCUUAAUUGGCUGGGACGUGGAUUCGACGAGGUUACUUUGAAAAAAUUAGAGUGUUCAAAGCAAGCUAAAGCUCUGAAUACAUUAGCAUGGAAUAACGCGAGAGGACUCGGUCCUUAUUUUGUUGGUCUUCGAGGAUGGAGUAAUGAUUAAUAGGGAUAGUUGGGGGCGUUUAUAUUCCAUUGUCAGAGGUGAAACUCUUGGAUUUAUGGAAGAUAAACUACUGCGAAAGCAUUUGCCAGGGAUGUUUUCAUCA
This 389-nucleotide ribosomal RNA is filed under the name Pseudoscourfieldia sp. RNAcentral describes it as "partial small subunit ribosomal RNA". It matches the Rfam family "Eukaryotic small subunit ribosomal RNA", at positions 582 to 975 of the family's 1831-position model. The record is from RNAcentral. Lineage: Eukaryota; Viridiplantae; Chlorophyta; Pseudoscourfieldiophyceae; Pseudoscourfieldiales; Pseudoscourfieldiaceae.